This 252-nucleotide ribosomal RNA is filed under the name uncultured bacterium. RNAcentral's name for it is "partial 16S ribosomal RNA". It matches the Rfam family "Bacterial small subunit ribosomal RNA", at positions 525 to 775 of the family's 1533-position model. The record is from RNAcentral.
ACGUAGGGUGCGAGCGUUGUCCGGAAUUACUGGGCGUAAAGAGCUCGUAGGUGGUUUGUCGCGUCGUCUGUGAAAUUCCGGGGCUUAACUCCGGGCGUGCAGGCGAUACGGGCAUAACUUGAGUGCUGUAGGGGAGACUGGAAUUCCUGGUGUAGCGGUGAAAUGCGCAGAUAUCAGGAGGAACACCGAUGGCGAAGGCAGGUCUCUGGGCAGUAACUGACGCUGAGGAGCGAAAGCAUGGGUAGCGAACAG